This 287-nucleotide long non-coding RNA is filed under the name Elaeis guineensis (African oil palm). RNAcentral's name for it is "long non-coding RNA (EGUI_LNC009377)". Lineage: Eukaryota; Viridiplantae; Streptophyta; Magnoliopsida; Arecales; Arecaceae. The record is from RNAcentral.
CCAACUCUGACUCCGCAAUAGUCGACCGACCGAAUGCACAACCCUGACUCUACGUCAGUUGAAUAUGUGACGACUCUUCAUCGAUCGACAGAGCGAAUCGCACCGAUCUAUGGUCGAUGACCGACUAAUGUUCGGCUACUGCUGAUGAAUAGCGAAUGAUUUGAGCUGCCGGCACAAUAGAACUACCAGCCGACGGUCAGACAUACUACCGUAUGAUCGGCUAAUCUGCUCAACAUACCAUAACCAUCACAGACGGUUACCAACCGCAUGUCGCGACGUAAUUAGUG